GACGAACGCUGGCGGCGUGCUUAACACAUGCAAGUCGAACGGAAAGGCCCUGCUUUUGUGGGGUGCUCGAGUGGCGAACGGGUGAGUAACACGUGAGUAACCUGCCCUUGACUUUGGGAUAACUUCAGGAAACUGGGGCUAAUACCGGAUAGGAGCUCCUGCUGCAUGGUGGGGGUUGGAAAGUUUCGGCGGUUGGGGAUGGACUCGCGGCUUAUCAGCUUGUUGGUGGGGUAGUGGCUUACCAAGGCUUUGACGGGUAGCCGGCCUGAGAGGGUGACCGGCCAGAUUGGGACUGAGAUAAGGCCCAGACUCCUACGGGAGGCAGCAGUGGGGAAUAGUGCACAAUGGGCGGAAGCCUGAUGCAGCAACGCCGCGUGCGGGAUGACGGGCUUCGGGUUGUAAACCGCUUUCGCCUGUGACGAAGCGUGAGUGACGGUAAUGGGUAAAGAAGCACCGGAUAACUACGUG
RNAcentral lists this ribosomal RNA (468 nucleotides) under uncultured bacterium. RNAcentral describes it as "partial 16S ribosomal RNA". It matches the Rfam family "Bacterial small subunit ribosomal RNA", at positions 28 to 507 of the family's 1533-position model. The record is from RNAcentral.